UGGCAUCAACCACCAGGCAUUAUUUGACACGAUUUUAAGAAAACAUAUCUUGUUUUAAAUAUCUUAUCUUAUCUUAAUAAUAUUACAAUCCUGAGGGACUCUAGAAGAGAAUUGGUAACAUUUUGGUCCGUCUUAAUAAUGGACACUGGGGUGUCAAGUAGAUAUGACACAUGUGGAGGAUACGUUGAAAUAUUCAGCUCUAUUUCAGGUCUCAGCACAGUGGGGGGGUGAGCCCCUAGAGGAAAAGGCCUCCACUGACUCAAUUUCAGAUGAAAAUGGUAUCAGUGCUGAGAAACACAGAUGUACUUGGGAAGCGGCAACAAAACAUGGCUAUCCUGUAAGAAGCAUGACGGUGGCCCCUAAUCAGCAGGCCAAGACCCCCACACACACUCGAGGCCUAUCUAAUGGCUAUUUUAGCCAAGGGUUGCCCAUGCCCAAACAUGACAUGACAUUUUCCAAGACCUUUUUGAGAAAUUUGGAAAUUCCGCACUACCAAACCAGAGACAGAAUAGCCUCUUCUUUUUACCCUGCACUUCCUAAACAAACAGGACACCACAUGCAUGGUUUUGAGGGCACAGAUAACAUAAUUUACAGGAGCACAGAACUUGAGACAGAUUCCAUUCACAGCCUCUCUGUGUCCCACAUAUACGCAGAACUGGAUCUGGAGGAUGAAAGGGAACAUCUGUAUGCGUGCAUCGGGGGGGCAAAUGCUUCAGACUCCCAACACCUAGAUUCCUGUCAGGAGACUGAUGAGGCCUCUGCAACGGGCCAGGAAGAGGAGGAGGAUCAUCCUUAUGAGUGCAUCAGGGAGCCAAAUGGCUCUGAUUCCCAACGUCCACAUUUCUGCACACAGGCUGAGGAGGCCAAGCCAAAGGAGCGCCCAUACCAGACCGUCAACGAGCUGUUCCAGGCCGCCGGCACAAUUGAGCCUGCCACGAGCCAAUCAGGGCCGUCGGUUCAUGUCCCAUCCGCUCUGUCUGACACUAAAGAGCCAGGUUUGACUGGCACAGAGGUGACUGUCGUGUACGCAUCCAUUAACAGGAAAAAAAAGAGCAGAUACCGAACUGCGGCUCUCCCCUCUGCCUCAGACUCCUGUGUCCCAGAGAAGAGCGAGGAGGAUGAGAAUGCAGGCUCAGAACCUCUUCCUCUGAUCCCUGAGAAACAUUUUAUUGUGUAGACAUAGAGCAUUUUGAGUAGUUUCUGAGACACCUGGCUAAAGGUUUGUUUAAGGCUAUAUCGCUUUGUUUGCCACAACAAUAGAAUGAUAUUGCUGCUUUUAAUUUUUUAUUGCAGAUUUUUAUCAAUGACCAAACCACCUGGGCAGUUUCUGAGGUGUGUUAUUUUCUCGUGGUUGCUAUAGAUACUGCACUGCACUUAAUACACUCUGUUUUGUAUACCAUGACAAUCAUUUUUUUAAAAGGCCAACGCACCUAGUCCAUGACUCUGUUGGUAAUGGUAAAACGCUAGUGAAAUCACUGCCUCUGUCGUGAAUGUAUAGGGUAGUUUCACAAUCAGGGGAAGCAGUUUAUUUUUUUUAAAUAUACAUCUGUUGAAGGAUAAAAAACUUGGUUUGUGGCAAUUGGUCAUGGAUAACACUGAGGGAAAAAACAGUCGACAAAUUUAUAAAAAAUUAGAUUUUAAGAUUGUCUGUCUACACAAGGAAAUAUCCCAUCAUAAACAUUUAAAAACUAAAAUAUGGAUAGUACACAUUAUACACAGAAAUAAAUAGCAGUCAUUUUGCAGUUUGUGCAGGACAUAAUGUGCGUGAUGAGUUUUUCAAAACAUAUUUGCGCAUUUUGUUUUG
Long non-coding RNA from Clupea harengus (Atlantic herring), 1804 nucleotides. The record is from Ensembl. NCBI's taxonomy places the organism in Eukaryota, Metazoa, Chordata, Actinopteri, Clupeiformes, Clupeidae.